Molecule: ribosomal RNA, 468 nt
Filed under: uncultured bacterium
Lineage: Bacteria
Description: partial 16S ribosomal RNA
Rfam family: Bacterial small subunit ribosomal RNA
Source: RNAcentral
GACGAACGCUGGCGGCGUGCUUAACACAUGCAAGUCGAACGGAAAGGCCCUGCUUUUGUGGGGUGCUCGAGUGGCGAACGGGUGAGUAACACGUGAGUAACCUGCCCUUGACUUUGGGAUAACUUCAGGAAACUGGGGCUAAUACCGGAUAGGAGCUCCUGCUGCAUGGUGGGGGUUGGAAAGUUUCGGCGGUUGGGGAUGGACUCGCGGCUUAUCAGCUUGUGGGUGGGGUAGUGGCUUACCAAGGCUUUGACGGGUAGCCGGCCUGAGAGGGUGACCGGCCACAUUGGGACUGAGAGACGGCCCAGACUCCUACGGGAGGCAGCAGUGGGGAAUAUUGCACAAUGGGCGGAAGCCUGAUGCAGCAACGCCGCGUGCGGGAUGACGGCCUUCGGGUUGUAAACCGCUUUCGCCUGUGACGAAGCGUGAGUGACGGUAAUGGGUAAAGAAGCACCGGCUAACUACGUG